UCCCUGGUGGUCCAGUGGUUAGGACUCUGCACUCCAGUUGCUGAGGGCCCAGUUUCAAUCCCUGGUCAGGGAA
Balaenoptera musculus (blue whale) is the source of this 73-nucleotide non-coding RNA. Lineage: Eukaryota; Metazoa; Chordata; Mammalia; Artiodactyla; Balaenopteridae. The record is from the annotation of a RefSeq genome assembly.